Molecule: small RNA, 1334 nt
Filed under: Bos taurus (domestic cattle)
Lineage: Eukaryota; Metazoa; Chordata; Mammalia; Artiodactyla; Bovidae
Source: RNAcentral
UGAGCGGAAUUCGUGAGACCUGCUUUAUAGGUAAGUCAGGCCACUACUCAACCUGCGCUGUAGUUCAGGUGUGCCUAAACAAUUACUGAACUUGCACUCUGAUGUUUGUUUACUUCUGGACACACCUGAGCCAGCACUCCUAUGGACAUAGUGAGUUUGAACACUGGAGGACAUGGUACACCUCUACUGAGCAUGAGUUCAAGGGCAGGCAUCCGGGCUCUGCAGAGAACAUGCUCUAGUUUCACACAUUCCACAGUAACUGAACUUGCAAUUGGGAGUACAGCUCUCAUGACUACAGAGUGCACACAUUUUAUCAUGGGUUUUGCACUACUGCGGUUUACUCAGGAACAUAUCUCCCAUCAUGACUGUGUGUGCCUUCAAGAGCCAAUGUUCUGACACUACAGAGACUAUGCUGUAGAGUAAGAAUGCCUGAGCUACACACCUGCACACUGAAUCAUGCAUCCCGGCAGUAUCAAUCCUAGUACUAUAGCACACCUGUGACUUCUGAGUCCUUACACUAAGCAGGCAUGGCACAGCUAGUGAGCAUGUGGCCUAGAGCAUGUGUGUGGCCAAUACUAAUUUUGCACUCUGAAGCAUGUGUCUUGCCACUUGUAAGCGGUUCAGCUACUGAUUUUGCACCCUGUUACACUAUUUAAUCACUGCUGAGCCUGCCUUAUAGACCAUGAGUUCCACUACUACUAAUCUUGCCCCAUGGCCUGUGAGCUUAAAGUAGUGAUCCCACACUCUGCAGCUGAAAUUUGCCAAUGACUUGGCUUGCCCGCUGUUGCAUAUUUCCCCAAACUCUUCUUCCUGUACUCUAGAGCAUGUGUCCCAGCUACUGAAUUUGCACUCUGGAGGACCUAUUCCAGGAAAGUGGAGGUUGCAUUAUAAAACACAUAUCCUACCCACGAGUGAACCGUCAUUCUAGAUCAACUGUGUCACCACUAGUGACUUUGAAUUCUGAAGCAUUAAAGUCACUUCCCUGAAGUAUUGCUCUAGAAGGUGUGUGCAACCAUCACUCCAGUGGCAUUUUAUACCAGCCAUUAUGCUGCUAGCCAUCCAGCACUCUAGACUGUAUAAGUUGUGAGUAGUGUACCUGUGUUCCACAGCUACAUCUAUGGAUGAUCUUCCACAACUAGAGACUUGGUGUAUACUUCAUAUUUCCUGCCUCAAUUGAUCAUGUGUCACAUCACACAUAUGCCACAACCCAUGUGCUUGCACUGUUGAGGACUUAUCUUCCCACUACUGAGCUUGUGUGGCAGAACAGGCAUAUCACAUUUUCUCAGUUUGAUCUCUGGAUAUGCAUCCAAAAAUAAAAACCCAGCGUUCAAGAG